RNAcentral lists this ribosomal RNA (525 nucleotides) under uncultured bacterium. Its description in RNAcentral is "bacterial SSU rRNA". It matches the Rfam family "Bacterial small subunit ribosomal RNA", at positions 8 to 526 of the family's 1533-position model. The record is from RNAcentral.
AGAGUUUGAUCCUGGCUCAGAUUGAACGCUGGCGGCAUGCCUUACACAUGCAAGUCGAACGGCAGCACGGGGGCAACCCUGGUGGCGAGUGGCGAACGGGUGAGUAAUGCAUCGGAACGUGCCCAGUAGUGGGGGAUAACUAGUCGAAAGAUUAGCUAAUACCGCAUACGACCUACGGGUGAAAGCGGGGGAUUCGCAAGAACCUCGCGCUAUCGGAGCGGCCGAUGUCUGAUUAGCUAGUUGGUGGGGUAAAAGCCUACCAAGGCGACGAUCAGUAGCUGGUCUGAGAGGACGACCAGCCACACUGGGACUGAGACACGGCCCAGACUCCUACGGGAGGCAGCAGUGGGGAAUUUUGGACAAUGGGCGCAAGCCUGAUCCAGCCAUGCCGCGUGCGGGAAGAAGGCCUUCGGGUUGUAAACCGCUUUUGGUAGGAACGAAACGGCGCGAGCGAAUACCUCGCGCUAAUGACGGUACCUGCAGAAUAAGCACCGGCUAACUACGUGCCAGCAGCCGCGGUAAUAC